GCUGACACAUCCCAGGCCAAUCUCCAGCAGACCCUCCCUCCCAGACCCUCCCACCUCCUGGACAGCAUCGAUGUUGAAGCUGCCUUCAACAUGGAUGCUGUCCAGGAGGUGGGAGGGUCUGGGAGGGAGGGUCUGCUGGAGAUUGGCCGGGAUGUGUCAG
RNAcentral lists this microRNA precursor (160 nucleotides) under Pelobates cultripes (western spadefoot toad). Lineage: Eukaryota; Metazoa; Chordata; Amphibia; Anura; Pelobatidae. The record is from RNAcentral.